UACGGAGGGUGCAAGCGUUAUUCGGAUUUACUGGGCGUAAAGCGCGCGUAGGCUGUUUAGUAAGUUUGGUGCGAAAGUCCACGACUCAAUCGUGGAAGUGCACUGGAUACUGCUAGACUAGAGUGUAGGAGAGGAGAACGGAAUUCCUGGUGUAAAGGUAGAAUUUGUAGAUAUCAGGAGGAACAAUGGUGGCGAAGGCGGUUCUCUGGACUAUUACUGACGCUGAGGUGCGAAAGUGUGGGGAGCAAAC
This 250-nucleotide ribosomal RNA is filed under the name uncultured prokaryote. Its description in RNAcentral is "partial 16S ribosomal RNA". It matches the Rfam family "Bacterial small subunit ribosomal RNA", at positions 524 to 773 of the family's 1533-position model. The record is from RNAcentral.